GAACAGACGAGGAGCUUGCUCCUCUGACGUUAGCGGCGGACGGGUGAGUAACACGUGGAUAACCUACCUAUAAGACUGGGAUAACUUCGGGAAACCGGAGCUAAUACCGGAUAAUAUAUUGAACCGCAUGGUUCAAUAGUGAAAGACGGUUUUGCUGUCACUUAUAGAUGGAUCCGCGCUGCAUUAGCUAGUUGGUAAGGUAACGGCUUACCAAGGCAACGAUGCGUAGCCGACCUGAGAGGGUGAUCGGCCACACUGGAACUGAGACACGGUCCAGACUCCUACGGGAGGCAGCAGUAGGGAAUCUUCCGCAAUGGGCGAAAGCUUGACGGAGCAACGCCGCGUGAGUGAUGAAGGUCUUCGGAUCGUAAAACUCUGUUAUUAGGGAAGAACAAAUGUGUAAGUAACUAUGCACGUCUUGACGGUACCUAAUCAGAAAGCCACGGCUAACUACGUGCCAGCAGCCGCGGUAAUACGUAGGUGGCAAGCGUUAUCCGGAAUUAUUGGGCGUAAAGCGCGCGUAGGCGGUUUUUUAAGUCUGAUGUGAAAGCCCACGGCUCAACCGUGGAGGGUCAUUGGAAACUGGAAAACUUGAGUGCAGAAGAGGAAAGUGGAAUUCCAUGUGUAGCGGUGAAAUGCGCAGAGAUAUGGAGGAACACCAGUGGCGAAGGCGACUUUCUGGUCUGUAACUGACGCUGAUGUGCGAAAGCGUGGGGAUCAAACA
RNAcentral lists this ribosomal RNA (724 nucleotides) under uncultured Staphylococcus sp. Its description in RNAcentral is "bacterial SSU rRNA". It matches the Rfam family "Bacterial small subunit ribosomal RNA", at positions 68 to 774 of the family's 1533-position model. The record is from RNAcentral. Lineage: Bacteria; Bacillati; Bacillota; Bacilli; Caryophanales; Staphylococcaceae.